RNAcentral lists this ribosomal RNA (468 nucleotides) under uncultured bacterium. RNAcentral's name for it is "partial 16S ribosomal RNA". It matches the Rfam family "Bacterial small subunit ribosomal RNA", at positions 28 to 507 of the family's 1533-position model. The record is from RNAcentral.
GACGAACGCUGGCGGCGUGCUUAACACAUGCAAGUCGAACGGAAAGGCCCUGCUUUUGUGGGGUGCUCGUGUGGCGAACGGGUGAGUAACACGUGAGUAACCUGCCCUUGACUUUGGGAUAACUUCAGGAAACUGGGGCUAAUACCGGAUAGGAGCUCCUGCUGCAUGGUGGGGGUUGGAAAGUUUCGGCGGUUGGGGAUGGACUCGCGGCUUAUCAGCUUGUUGGUGGGGUAGUGGCUUACCAAGGCUUUGACGGGUAGCCGGCCUGAGAGGGUGACCGGCCACAUUGGGACUGAGAUACGGCCCAGACUCCUACGGGAGGCAGCAGUGGGGAAUAUUGCACAAUGGGCGGAAGCCUGAUGCAGCAACGCCGCGUGCGGGAUGACGGCCUUCGGGUUGUAAACCGCUUUCGCCUGUGACGAAGCGUGAGUGACGGUAAUGGGUAAAGAAGCAACGGCUAACUACGUG